UACGAAGGGUGCAAACGUUGCUCGGAAUUAUUGGGCGUAAAGCGCACGUAGGCGGCUUUGCAAGUCGGAUGUGAAAUCCCUCGGCUUAACCAAGGAAGUGCAUCCGAAACUGCAGAGCUUGAGUACUUAAGAGGAUCGCGGAAUUCCCGGUGUAGAGGUGAAAUUCGUAGAUAUCGGGAGGAACACCAGUGGCGAAGGCGGCGUCUGGGAAGAUACUGACGCUGAGGUGCGAAAGCGUGGGGAGCAAACAGG
Molecule: ribosomal RNA, 252 nt
Filed under: uncultured bacterium
Lineage: Bacteria
Description: partial 16S ribosomal RNA
Rfam family: Bacterial small subunit ribosomal RNA
Source: RNAcentral